Molecule: non-coding RNA, 556 nt
Organism: Cyanistes caeruleus (blue tit)
Lineage: Eukaryota; Metazoa; Chordata; Aves; Passeriformes; Paridae
Source: RefSeq, a predicted model, not a curated record
GAACCACAAAGUCUAACAGGAAGUCUUCCAUAAAGGAAAGCUGUCUGUCACACAGAGGAGGGUACAGUGCACUUUCAAAACCCAUUUACAAAUAAAAUUUGUUCCCUGGAGCCACUCACAUUGGAUGUCACUCAGAGUACACUUGUUCAGAUCCGUGUCAGUGUGCAGCAAGGACCAGCUGCUCCCUAAGGGACUGGGAGCUGCAAGCCAAGGGUGACCCAAGGCCUGGCAGAGCUCUUCCCGACAGACACCAUCCCUCAGGAUCUGACUGUGGCUGUCCGCUGAAAUAUAAAAGUGACUAAGAAGUAAAUCAAGCAAGCCACAAUGCCCAGAAACAACUCAGAAGAAAACUAAAAACUCGUGCCCAUGAUCAUGAAAUGGCAAAAAGUAGCUACACAGGUGUCAUGCAGAGAUGUGAAAAAAGAAUAUGGAUGUGGAGGAAUGGUGAAGUGAAAGUUGACAUGAAAUUUUAAACAUGUUGCUCAGCAGCAGGUGGAUGAUACAUAUCCAUAAAUUAAGAUCAGACACAGAAGAAAUACAAUACAGAACUUUCUUU